UACGUAGGUGGCAAGCGUUAUCCGGAUUUAUUGGGCGUAAAGGGAACGCAGGCGGUCUUUUAAGUCUGAUGUGAAAGCCUUCGGCUUAACCGGAGUAGUGCGUUGGAAACUGGGAGACUUGAGUGCAGAAGAGGAGAGUGGAACUCCAUGUGUAGCGGUGAAAUGCGUAGAUAUAUGGAAGAACACCAGUGGCGAAAGCAGCUCUCUGGUCUGUAACUGACGCUGAGGUUCGAAAGCGUGGGUAGCAAACAGG
This 253-nucleotide ribosomal RNA is filed under the name uncultured bacterium. RNAcentral's name for it is "partial 16S ribosomal RNA". It matches the Rfam family "Bacterial small subunit ribosomal RNA", at positions 524 to 776 of the family's 1533-position model. The record is from RNAcentral.